Long non-coding RNA from Oncorhynchus keta (chum salmon), 1899 nucleotides. RefSeq lists it as uncharacterized. Lineage: Eukaryota; Metazoa; Chordata; Actinopteri; Salmoniformes; Salmonidae. The transcript has 4 exons. The record is from RefSeq and is a predicted model, not a curated record.
CUUUAUUGUGGCGGUGAGCACAGUUGAAACCCUUCCUCUGGUACUCUGGCAUGGUGGCUAGAAGUCUUGAUAAACACAGCACCAAAUGACACUUCCCUCACAAUGAACAGGUCUCACUGUGAACAAAGUGCAGCUGUCCAGUGGCUCUAGGACAGGUAACAUGCAGCCAUUCCCCCGGUCUACAUCCAGACUCCUAGCCAUGGAGCAGAGCCAGGCAUGGCCAGCUGGACCCCGACCAGCACCAGGCCCGGGGACAAGGCCUCCACCUACAGCCUGGCCAACUGGCUCCACACCACGCCGCAACAACUACUGCCAUGGGAGCGGUCUAUGUUAUCACCGGCCUCACCACCGCCAGUAACACCAGUCGGAGAGCUGUCCACUGUCUCUGACACUGGCGAGUUGCAGGCAUUCCCGUGUGGCUACAUGCACUGGCCGUGCUGGAAAACUACACCAAUGCCAAACUUUACAAACAUGGCCACCUCAACCCUGACGACCACCAGACUGACCCAGACCACAAGAACUCCACCUAAACACUGACCAAUGUGGUGCCUCAGGUCUGAGAAUUCAGCGCCGGCACCUGAGAGGAACAGGAGCACGUCAUCCACAAGCGCCUCAACAACUACUGCCGCUGCGCCACCUACAUUAUCACCAGAAUCGGUGAACAUGAUCCGGUGCCAUGACAUCAACAUUACAGCCAUCUAGGCCAGAUUGUUCUUCAAGACAUUUACAUUCUAGUCAUUUAGCAGACGCUGUUAUCCAGAGUAAUUAGGAUUAAGUGCUUUGCUCAACUGCGAAUCGACAGAUUUUUCAUCUAGUCGGCUUGUGGAUUCAAACCAGCAACCCUUCGGUUACUGGCCCGAUGCUCUUAACCGCCAGGCUAUCUGCCAUCCGUGAACUAUUGCUUGCUUGCUCCAGUUGUUCACUCAACAGCUCAGGGAACCUGGGCACCUGGAACAGGCAAGUGCUAACGUCAACACUUGCUACAGUGGUCCCUAACAGUAAGCCAGGCCUGGAGUGCCACCAGGCAGAGCCCGGCCGUUGUGUCUGAUCGGCUGGGUGGGUCUGCCUUCGGGUCUGAAGCAUAGUGAGGAGGAUGUGGAGGGCCAUUAUAUCCUUUACCGGACAUUUAAAUGUUAACAGAUGAUAGAUGAUCAACCUGGAACUGAGUCAGUUGUGUUUGGUGUGAUGUUAUUUGAAAGCCAAGAAAAAAUGAAAAAUGUAAAAGUACAUUACAAUGAUAUAUUUGACUUUAUGGGGACUGAAUGCUGAGUUAAGGCUGCCAGGCUUGCUAGGACAGACCAGAUACAACUUCAAUUAGCACUGAGGUGUGAAGUGAAAGGUGUCAAGAUCUUUGGGCCCCAACAAGAGGCAGGAGUCUUUGAAGUCCCCUUUGAAGCCCCCUUCUGUCACGCCCUGGCCAAAGAGAGGCUUUUAUUCUCUAUUUUGGGUAGGCCACGGUGUGACUAGGGUGGGCAUUCUAGUUUAUUUAUUUCUAUGUUUUCUGUUUCUAUGUUUUGGGUUUUGGGUUUGGUUCUCAAUCAGGGACAGCUGUCUGUUGUCUCUGAUUGGGAAUCAUACUUAGGCAGCCUUUUUUCCUUUGUAUUUUGUGGGUAGUUAUCUUUGGUAGUGGCACUAUAGCCCUCGUAAGCGUCACGGUCGUUUCUUUGUUUCUUGUUUUGUUGGCGACAUUUAUAUAAAUAAAUAAAUGUACGCUCACUACGCUUCACCUUGGUCCGGUCAUUUCCACCCCGACAAUGGCCGUGACACCUUCUGCUGUUGAUAGAGCAUCCACUGGCAUUUUCUACAAGAAAUCUGCCUCCAGAAGUAAAAGCUGGGUGGGUGUGACACCUACUCCUGUUGCCUGCUGCACUGCUGCUUGGAUUCCACCUGGCGAUCUGU